UUAUAGGUCUGCUUGUAGAUAAAGGGGUUUUACGGCCGGCACGCGCCGGGACGCCGCGAGCGAGGUGUAUUACUGCGCUACGGGUCCAGGCGCGCCCGCCACUUCUUUUCAGGGCCCGCGGCGGCCGCGGGGCCCCAACACCGAGCAGGGCUCGAGGGUUGAAAUGACGCUCGAACAGGCAUGCCCGCCGGAAUGCCGGCGGGCGCAAUGUGCGUUCAAAGAUUCGAUGAUUCGCUGAGUUCUGCAAUUCACAUUACUUAUCGCAUUUCGCUGCGUUCUUCAUCGAUGCCAGAACCAAGAGAUCCGUUGUUGAAAGUUUUGACUCAUUUAGUGUCUUCUCAGAGGGGCCUAAAUCGCAAGAGUUGUGCUGCGCUGCCGCCGGCGGGCGCCCUUGCGGGCUGCGGCCCCUCCCCGGGGCCGCCCGCCGAAGCAACGAACAGUUGAAGAAACGUUCACGGGUGUAUUAAGGAGAAUGGAACUCGUUAAUGAUCCCUCCGCAGGUUCACCUACGGAA
This 514-nucleotide ribosomal RNA is filed under the name fungal sp. SNB-GTC2905. RNAcentral's name for it is "partial large subunit ribosomal RNA". The record is from RNAcentral. Lineage: Eukaryota; Fungi.